Molecule: ribosomal RNA, 326 nt
Filed under: Bacillota bacterium
Lineage: Bacteria; Bacillati; Bacillota
Description: bacterial SSU rRNA
Rfam family: Bacterial small subunit ribosomal RNA
Source: RNAcentral
GAACUUAAGAGUUUGAUCCUGGCUCAGGACGAACGCUGGCGGUAUGCCUAACACAUGCAAGUCGAACGAGGUUCUUCGGAACCUAGUGGCGAACGGGUGAGUAACACGUGAGCAACCUGCCUUACACUUUCGGAUACCUACGGGAAACUGUAGUUAAUACGGUAUAAGACCACGCUGUCGCAUGACAGAGGGGUAAAAGAUUUAUCGGUGUAAGAUGGGCUCGCGUCGCAUUAGCUAGUUGGUGGGGUAACGGCUCACCAAGGCGACGAUGCGUAGCCGACCUGAGAGGGUGAUCGGCCACACUGGGACUGAGAUACGGCCCAGAC